GACACGAUGGCCGAGUGGUCUAAGGCGGUAGAUUUAAGCCCGAAUCUGCAGUCUUGCUAGUCAUUUCUGCAGGAGAUGCGCGAGUGCUCAAAUCUCUACUACGGAAACGUGCGUGGGUUCGAACCCCACUCGUGUCA
Ascochyta rabiei is the source of this 137-nucleotide transfer RNA. It matches the Rfam family "tRNA". From Rfam's summary of the family: Transfer RNA (tRNA) molecules are approximately 80 nucleotides in length. Lineage: Eukaryota; Fungi; Ascomycota; Dothideomycetes; Pleosporales; Didymellaceae. The record is from Rfam.